Gopherus evgoodei (Goodes thornscrub tortoise) is the source of this 92-nucleotide long non-coding RNA. RefSeq lists it as uncharacterized. The record is from RefSeq and is a predicted model, not a curated record. The transcript is spliced from 4 exons. NCBI's taxonomy places the organism in Eukaryota, Metazoa, Chordata, Testudines, Testudinidae.
AGGCCUCAUUUGAUGGUGUUGUUUGCAAAUAAAAUUUCAGUUCUGCAAUUUCUUAUUGAAGUUUUUUUGAAGGUUUUUUUUUUUUGAAAGAA